Molecule: ribosomal RNA, 546 nt
Filed under: Triticum aestivum (bread wheat)
Lineage: Eukaryota; Viridiplantae; Streptophyta; Magnoliopsida; Poales; Poaceae
Description: partial small subunit ribosomal RNA
Source: RNAcentral
AUGCAAGCCUUCAGGGAUGUACUGGAAACUUGUAAUCUGGUGGACUUGGGGUUCCAAGGCCUCCCAUUCACAUAUGAUAAUAAACAGCGUCGAAACAGAAACGUUAAAGUGCGGUUGGAUCGAGCGGUGGCGGACAACAACUGGCGUAAUUUAUUCAGUGCUGCCAAGGUGGUCCAUCAGGUAUCACCUUGUUCUGACCAUCUUCCUAUUUUACUAAAGUGUGUUGCCGAUGAAGAAAAGGUAUACAGGCCGAGUUUUAGAAGGUAUGAAAUUUUCUGGGAAAGAGAUGCAAGUCUACAGGAAAGAAUUGCCAAUGCCUGGGAGGAGGCCGGUGCCAAGUUUAACCUUGGUGAUGUUCGGGAGGGGCUUAAGAGUUUGUUACUUAAUCUGUAUGCGUGGGGAAAGAAAAGGUUUGGUAACGUCACUAGAGAGCUUGAGAAGUCCAGAACUAAAUUAGAAGAGCUGCUCAAUAUGAAUGCGGACAGAGAUGAAAUAAAAAAGGUCUCUGACCAUAUGAAUGAAUUGUUGUACCAGGAGGAAAUGUUG